This 69-nucleotide transfer RNA is filed under the name Parachanna insignis. RNAcentral describes it as "tRNA-Gly". It matches the Rfam family "tRNA". From Rfam's summary of the family: Transfer RNA (tRNA) molecules are approximately 80 nucleotides in length. Their secondary structure includes four short double-helical elements and three loops (D, anti-codon, and T loops). Further hydrogen bonds mediate the characteristic L-shaped molecular structure. tRNAs have two regions of fundamental functional importance: the anti-codon, which is responsible for specific mRNA codon recognition, and the 3' end, to which the tRNAs corresponding amino acid is attached (by aminoacyl-tRNA synthetases). tRNAs cope with the degeneracy of the genetic code in two manners: having more than one tRNA (with a specific anti-codon) for a particular amino acid; and 'wobble' base-pairing, i.e. permitting non-standard base-pairing at the 3rd anti-codon position. Lineage: Eukaryota; Metazoa; Chordata; Actinopteri; Anabantiformes; Channidae. The record is from RNAcentral.
AUCUUCCUAGUACAAACAGUAUGUGUGACUUCCAAUCACUAGAUCUUGGUUAAAAUCCAAGGAAAGAUA